CUGAAGAGGGAAAAGGAAGCAUCUCUGAAGAAGAAAAAUGAGCAGCUUUAACAAGGAAAAAAGGAGGCAGCUGAAAGUGAAAAAGGGAGGCAUGCAAAACCCUAUCUCCUCUUUUUCUACUGCCCACAAAAGGAACCAGAUCUAUAAUGUUAAAAGGGGAGCAUAGGUGAACCCAUAUCUGGUUGGGAGCCGACGUGAACCAAAAUCUGGUGAGAAAAAAGAAGUGCCCUUGGAGCUGAGCAGCGGAUUGAGGAAAAUUAAGCAAGUAAUUUAUUUUUUAUUUUUAUUUUUAUGUUUUUGCUUUCAAAUUGUAGAUUUUUGGGAUGAAAGUUUUCGUGAUGUUUUAACAAAGUCAU
This 356-nucleotide long non-coding RNA is filed under the name Carica papaya (papaya). Its description in RNAcentral is "long non-coding RNA (CPAP_LNC004774)". The record is from RNAcentral. Lineage: Eukaryota; Viridiplantae; Streptophyta; Magnoliopsida; Brassicales; Caricaceae.